GACGAACGCUGGCGGCGCGCUUAACACAUGCAAGUCGAGCGAGAACCAAGCCUUCGGGCUUGGGGACAGCGGCGAACGGGUGAGUAACACGUGAGUAAUCCACCCUUGGUACCGGGAUAGCUCGGGGAAACUCGAAUUAAUACCGGAUAGCCCAUUAGCCUUUCGAGGCGAAUGGAAAAGGUAGCUUCGGCCUCCGACCAAGGACGAGCUCGCGGCGGAUUAGCUUGUUGGCGGGGUAAUGGCCCACCAAGGCGACGAUCCGUAGCUGGUCUGAGAGGACGAUCAGCCACACUGGGACUGAGACACGGCUCAGACUCCUACGGGAGGCAGCAGUGGGGAAUCUUGCGCAAUGGGCGAAAGCCUGACGCAGCGACGCCGCGUGAGGGAAGAAGGCCU
Molecule: ribosomal RNA, 396 nt
Filed under: uncultured bacterium
Lineage: Bacteria
Description: bacterial SSU rRNA
Rfam family: Bacterial small subunit ribosomal RNA
Source: RNAcentral